RNAcentral lists this ribosomal RNA (406 nucleotides) under uncultured bacterium. RNAcentral describes it as "partial 16S ribosomal RNA". It matches the Rfam family "Bacterial small subunit ribosomal RNA", at positions 30 to 526 of the family's 1533-position model. The record is from RNAcentral.
AUUGAACGCUGGCGGCAGGCCUAACACAUGCAAGUCGAACGAGUGGCGUACGGGUGAGUAAUGUCUGGGAAACUGCCUGAUUGAUUGGGAUAACUACUUGCAACGGUAGCUAAUACCGCAUACCCUCGGAUGUGCCCAGAUGGGAUUAGCUAGUAGGUGGGGUAACGGCUCACCUAGGCGACGAUCACUAGCUGGUCUGAGAGGAUGACCAGGCACACUGGAACUGAGAAACGGUCCAGACUCCUACGGGAGGCAGCAGUGGGGAAUAUUGCACAAUGGGCGAAAGCCUGAUGCAGCCAGGCCGCGUGUAUGAAGAAGGCCUUCGGGUUUUAAAGUACUUUCAGCGGGGAGGCGUUACCCGCAGAAGAAGCACCGGCUAACUCCGUGCCAGCAGCCGCGGUAAUAC